UAAGAAAAAAUGGACAAGGAGCAGCUCAGCAGGAGUGGAAUCAGACCCGUGAUUCUGUUUAAAUUGCUGGCUUUAAACAAAACCAAAAAAACACAUUCAGUGAUGAUUAACUGAAUGUUACAUUGUUGUUGCCAGUCACAACUGAUGUUGAUUUACUGGAGCUCUCCCUUCUAUAUUCCUCCACGCAAGUACUCAAAGGACCAAGACAAUGUAAUAUUCCCUCGGUACAGAGCCAAGUGUGACCAGCUGCUUCGAACAAACAGCAGGGCAACGCAGGCGCAGUGCGGACCAGCCGUCCGGCCGUUCAGAGCAGGCGCAGUGCGGGUUCCGCCAUUGACCUGCCCUGACACUCGUCCCACUUUGACGUCAAAACGCGGAAGUGGCUUUGUCAGUUUCAGGGUGAAUCUCCCUCCUCUGGGCAAAUCCUUGACCUGGGAGGCAGAGAGAGAGAAGGGGUCAAUCUCUUCACUUGUAGCAACUGGAGUGAACCCAGGGAGCGAGCAGACUUUGCAAACUCAGAUCCUGAAUUAGCACCUUCAGGAGAAUUAUUUAGAGUGGAGUGAGAACAGAGCGGGAGAAAGAGCGCAUGGAAUGGUGCUUUCAAUGUUUCAGAAUAACAAAAGAAAAGAGUGUUCCACAGAAAUUGGAAUUGCUUUUUCUGAAUUUCUACUUUGAACUGAUAGUGAUGAGUUUUGUAGUCUCUUCUUGAAGUAUUUGAAGAUCUAAAGGUGGAUGUUUCAAAAUGAACAGAUGAAAGACUUAUGCCUGACUCCCCUCUUCUGUGGAUGCUGCCUGAACUGCUGUGCUUUUCCAGCAACGCACUUUUCGACUCUGACUCUCCAGCGUCUGCAGUUCUCACUUUUACUUCAAUGUCUGCAAGUUACUCCAAUCCAUUGGGACCGCAACGAUUUUAGACUAUGAUCCUGUGAGAUGGAGCAAAGUAUUGUGGUUCCUGUUUCAGUAUGUUUUCAGCAUCAGUGGGACUGGGUGAGAGAGCCCAGUGUUGCAGUGCACUGAGUGUGGAACCUGAAACAUUAAUACAGCCUGGAAAGAGGAGUUCAUGGUGGCAAGGGGCUCUACAUGCGUUUGUGUACAGCUGAAGCUUCAGCCAUGGAGGAACCUGAGGAAUCCCGGCCCAUGCGGAAACCAUGGAAGUGUGGCGACUACGGAAAAGGCUUUCGUGUACCGUCUGCACUGGAAAGUCAUCGACGCAGUCACACUGGGGAGAGACUGUUUUCCUGCCCUGAGUGUGGGAAGGGCUUUACACAUGCGUCUACCCUCUGGGCCCACCGACGGGUCCACAGCGGAGAAAGGCCAUUCUCCUGCCCUGAGUGUGGGAAGGGAUUUACCCACUCCUCCCAGCUGCUGCCCCACUGGCGGGCCCACUCCAGGGAGAAGCCCUGUAGCUGCCCCGAAUGUGGGAAGGCCUUCACCGAUUCCUCCGCCCUGCUGAAGCAUUAGCGGGUCCACACCGGGGAGAGGCCAUUCUUCUGCCCCAGGUGCAGGAUGGACUUUACCGCUACUCCAACCUGAUGAGGCACCCGGAGCUCCACACCAGGGGGAGGCUGUUCUCCUGCCCAGAGUGUGGCAAGACCUUUAACCGCUCCUCCAGCCUGCUGGCCCACCAGUCAGUCCACUCCAGGGAGAAGCCCUUCAGCAGUCCCGAAUACGGGAAUAUCUUCAACAAUUCCUCGGUCCUGCUGGCACACAAGUGGGUCCACACAGGGGAGAGGCCAUUCACCUGCUCCAUGUGUGGGAAGGGAUUCAGUCAGCUGGGCAACCUGCAGAGGCACCAGUGGGUCCACACAGGGGAGAGACCAUUCGUAUGCUCUCAGUGUGGGAAGGGAUUCCUUGAUUCUUCCACUCUGAAGACCCACCAGCAGGUCCUUACUGGAGAAAGGCCAUUCACCUGCUCCGUGUGUGGGAAAGGAUUCAGUCAGGUGGGCAAUCUGCGGACGCACCAGCGGGUCCACACCGAGGCAAGGCCAUUCACUGCCCAAAUGCAGAAAGGGAUUCAUCGAUUGCUGACCUACCAGCGGGUCCACACCGAGGAGAGACCAUGCAGCUGCCCGAGUGCGGGAAGGGAUUCAUUGAUUCUUCCGGCCUGUGGAUGUACCAAUAGGUGCACACCAGGGACAGCUCGCUCACCUGCUCUGGCCUUUAUCAACACCUCCCACCUACGGAGGCACAAAUGCUGCCGGACCUGCUGAGGCUUUCCAGCAUUUUCUCUUUUCGUCACAUCACAUAUUGCGCAUGCUCCUCGGUGUCAGGAAGCACUGCGCAAGUUCACCGGUGUCAACAAAAUAGUACGCACGCUCGCUCUCAGAUGAAACAUCCCGAGACCUUCUCUCUCUGGACCAAUGGGAAGAUUUGGAUGACCGGAAGGAAUCUGGUCCUCCUGACAAUCAGAGACACCCCAUAGUACAUGAAUGCGGAAGUUCGCCAUAAGAUUGGAAAGUUGCUGCUCCUGUCUCUGAAUGAAGAUUGAGUUUCAGCAGAUUGCAGCUUCCUUCCUCUGUCUAAACAUCUGAAGACAUGCGGAAAGAAAUCUGAAAGCACAUGAUACAUCAACUUCUGACAGAACCACUUGAUUCAUUGGGACUUGAAUAUCAGCAGCUAUUCAAAUCGAGAGGAAAUGUUUGCUUUUGUCUGCUUGACAGGUUUUGGACACUGGUAUGGCAGGAGGAAUACGGAGACAUCUGAGUGAGGGAGAUUCAGUGCGCUGUCUGUGAAAUGUGCUUCAAACCGUUUACUCAGCUUAGGGGAUCAAACUGACACCACUCACUGUGGGGAGAAACUGUGUACACAUCCUGUUUGUAAUUUCAAACUCAGAGCGACGCAAGGAAAGCUCCCCCAAUGGGGAAACAGUGGAAAUGUGGGGACUGUGGGAAAGGAUUCCCUUCCCCAUCAGUGCUGGAAACCCACAGACACAUUCACACUGGGGAGAGACCGUUCACUUGCUCCGUGUGUGGGCGGGCAUUCAGUCAGAUGGGUCAUCUGCAGAAGCACCAGCGGGUCCACACGGGAGAGAUGCUGUUCACUUGCCCCGUGUGUGGGCGGGCAUUCAGUCAGAUGGGUCAUCUGCAGAAGCACCAGCGGGUCCACACAGGAGAGAAGCUGUUCACUUGCCCCAUGUGCGGGAAGGCAUUUGCUCAAUCAUCUGCACUACUGAUCCAUAACAGGGUCCACACCAGGGAGAGGCCAUUCAUUCACCCCUCUCAGUGCGGGAAGGGUUUUGUGAAUUCUUCCAACCUGCAGACUCACCAGCGGGUCCACACCGGAGAGAGGCCAUUCACGUGCUUGGUGUGUGGGAAAUGGUUUGCUUAUUCAUCUGCACUGCUGAACCACAAGCGGGUCAACACAGGGGAGAGGCCAUUCACCUACUCUCUGUGCGGGAAGGAAUUCAUUGAUUCUUCCAGCCUAUGGACCUACCAGCGGGUCCACACGGGAGAGAAGCCGUUCAUGUGCCCAGUAUGUGGGAGGUGGUUCACGGAGUCAUCUAAACUCCUGAUCCACCAGCGGGUCCACACUGGGGAGAAACCUUUCAUCUGCUCAGUGUGCAGGAAGAGAUUCAGUCAGGUGGGAUAUCUGCAAAGGCACCAGCGGGUUCAGACGGGAGAAAAGCCAUUCACUA
Molecule: non-coding RNA, 3634 nt
Organism: Chiloscyllium plagiosum (whitespotted bambooshark)
Lineage: Eukaryota; Metazoa; Chordata; Chondrichthyes; Orectolobiformes; Hemiscylliidae
Source: RefSeq, a predicted model, not a curated record